RNAcentral lists this ribosomal RNA (449 nucleotides) under uncultured bacterium. RNAcentral's name for it is "partial 16S ribosomal RNA". It matches the Rfam family "Bacterial small subunit ribosomal RNA", at positions 29 to 523 of the family's 1533-position model. The record is from RNAcentral.
AGCGAACGCUGGCGGCAGGCCUAACACAUGCAAGUCGAACGGAUCCUUCGGGAUUAGUGGCGGACGGGUGAGUAACACGUGGGAACGUGCCCUUUGGUUCGGAACAACUCAGGGAAACCUGAGCUAAUACCGGAUGUGCCCUUCGGGGGAAAGAUUUAUCGCCAUUGGAGCGGCCCGCGUCUGAUUAGCUAGUUGGUGAGGUAAAGGCUCACCAAGGCGACGAUCAGUAGCUGGUCUGAGAGGAUGAUCAGCCACAUUGGGACUGAGACACGGCCCAAACUCCUACGGGAGGCAGCAGUGGGGAAACUUGCGCAAUGGGCGAAAGCCUGACGCAGCCAUGCCGCGUGAAUGAUGAAGGUCUUAGGAUUGUAAAAUUCUUUCACCGGGGACGAUAAUGACGGUACCCGGAGAAGAAGCCCCGGCUAACUUCGUGCCAGCCGCCGCAGUAA